RNAcentral lists this small RNA (120 nucleotides) under Escherichia coli. RNAcentral's name for it is "partial RtT sRNA". It matches the Rfam family "RtT RNA". From Rfam's summary of the family: This family represents a bacterial cis-regulatory element known as RtT RNA. The exact function of RtT is unknown although it is thought that it may be involved in changing the cellular response in relation to amino acid starvation. Lineage: Bacteria; Pseudomonadati; Pseudomonadota; Gammaproteobacteria; Enterobacterales; Enterobacteriaceae. The record is from RNAcentral.
AUUCUGCCCAUGCGGGGAAGGAUGAGAAGCUUCGACUAAGGUUCGGCUCGAGCGUCAGCGAGAGAGCGUUGCCGCAGGCAACGACCCGAAGGGCGAAGCGCGCAGCGCUGAGUAAUCCUU